This 504-nucleotide ribosomal RNA is filed under the name uncultured bacterium. Its description in RNAcentral is "bacterial SSU rRNA". It matches the Rfam family "Bacterial small subunit ribosomal RNA", at positions 28 to 534 of the family's 1533-position model. The record is from RNAcentral.
GACGAACGCUGGCGGCGUGCCUAACACAUGCAAGUCGAACGGGGGGAACAUGAAGUAUUUCGGUACGGAAUGCGCCCCUAGUGGCGAACGGGUGAGUAACACGUGGGCAACCUGCCCCAGACUGGGGGAUAACAUUGUGAAAACAGUGCUAAUACCGCAUGACAGGGUUCCGGGCAUCCGGGACCCUUGAAAGGAGAAAUCCGGUCAGGGAUGGGCCCGCGUCCAAUUAGCUAGUUGGCGGGGUAACGGCCCACCAAGGCGACGAUUGGUAGCCGAACUGAGAGGUUGAUCGGCCACAUUGGGACUGAGACACGGCCCAGACUCCUACGGGAGGCAGCAGUGGGGAAUAUUGGGCAAUGGGCGAAAGCCUGACCCAGCGACGCCGCGUGAAGGAUGAAGGUCUUCGGAUUGUAAACUUCUUUGAUCAGGGAAGAAAGAAAUGACGGUACCUGAAAACAAGACCACGGCUAACUACGUGCCAGCAGCCGCGGUAACUGUAGUCGU